GACGAACGCUGGCGGCGUGCUUAACACAUGCAAGUCGAACGGAAAGGCCCUGCUUGCAGGGUACUCGAGUGGCGAACGGGUGAGUAACACGUGGGUGAUCUGCCCUGCACUUCGGGAUAAGCCUGGGAAACUGGGUCUAAUACCGGAUAGGAGCCAUUUUUAGUGUGAUGGUUGGAAAGUUUUUUCGGUGUAGGAUGAGCUCGCGGCCUAUCAGCUUGUUGGUGGGGGAAUGGCCUACCAAGGCGGCGACGGGUAGCCGGCCUGAGAGGGUGGACGGCCACAUUGGGACUGAGAUACGGCCCAGACUCCUACGGGAGGCAGCAGUGGGGAAUAUUGCACAAUGGGCGCAAGCCUGAUGCAGCGACGCCGCGUGGGGGAUGACGGCCUUCGGGUUGUAAACUCCUUUCGCUAGGGACGAAGCUUUUUGUGACGGUACCUAGAUAAGAAGCACCGGCUAACUACGUG
Molecule: ribosomal RNA, 465 nt
Filed under: uncultured bacterium
Lineage: Bacteria
Description: partial 16S ribosomal RNA
Rfam family: Bacterial small subunit ribosomal RNA
Source: RNAcentral